UAUCAGGCUUGUGUACGGAAGAGGUUGAUGGAAUUCCUGGUGUAGCAGUGAAAUGCGUAGAUAUCAGGAAGAACACCAGUGGCGAAGGCGGUCAACUGGUCCGGUACAGACACUAAAGCACGAAAGCGUGGGUAGCAAACAGGAUUAGAUACCCUGGUAGUCCACGCCCUAAACGAUGAAUACUAGAUGUUGGGGGUAAAACUUCAGUAUCGCAGCUAACGCGUUAAGUAUUCCACCUGGGAAGUACGAUCGCAAGGUUGAAACUCAAAGGAAUUGACGGGGGCCCGCACAAGCAGUGGAGCAUGUGGUUCAAUUCGAUGCAACGCGAAGAACCUUACCUGGGCUUGACAUGUAAGUUAAGGCCGGUGAAAGCCGGCGUUCCGCAAGGAGAGCUUAUACAGGUGCUGCAUGGCUGUCGUCAGCUCGUGCCGUGAGGUGUUGGGUUAAGUCCCGCAACGAGCGCAACCCUUGUCCUUAGUUGCCACCAGGUAAUGCUGAGCACUCUAAGGAGACUGCCUACGCAAGUAGUGAGGAAGGUGGGGAUGACGUCAAGUCCGCAUGGCCCUUACGCCCAGGGCCACACACGUGCUACAAUGGCUACUACAAAGGGCUGCCAAGCCGCAAGGUGGAGCCAAUCCCUAAAAAGUAGUCUCAGUUCGGAUUGGAGUCUGAAACUCGACUCCAUGAAGCUGGAAUUGCUAGUAAUCGCGCAUCAGCACGGCGCGGUGAAUACGUUCCCGGGCCUUGUACACACCGCCCGUAA
This 763-nucleotide ribosomal RNA is filed under the name uncultured bacterium. RNAcentral's name for it is "bacterial SSU rRNA". It matches the Rfam family "Bacterial small subunit ribosomal RNA", at positions 634 to 1399 of the family's 1533-position model. The record is from RNAcentral.